Non-coding RNA from Aegilops tauschii subsp. strangulata, 1540 nucleotides. The record is from RefSeq and is a predicted model, not a curated record. Lineage: Eukaryota; Viridiplantae; Streptophyta; Magnoliopsida; Poales; Poaceae.
CUACGAUCGAUGCCUCCAACCCCCAACCUCCUCCCUGGCUCCCGGCGCCGCCCGCCCCCAUCUCCUCCCCGAUCCCGGCGCCGCCCGCCCCCAUCUCCUCCCUCACUCCCGGUGCCGACCCCGCCCCCACCUUCUCCCUCACUCCAUAGCCCGCGCCCGCGUUCUUCCUCUCCCCCAUCUCGUCUCAUCUCCGGUCGCUGCAGAGGAGCCCAGUUUCACGCCGCCACCAUGGUUGGCCUGCAGCGAGCAGCAGAGGACCUAGCCGCCGCGUCCGACCUCAACCGCCGCCUGAAACCCUAGCCCCUCCUUCCAACGGCAGGUCAAGCCAGCAGGAUCCCCUCCAAGAACAGCAUUUGAUGUGUGAGUGCAUCCCCUUCUCUUCUUCUUCUUCUUCUCGAUUUGAUGUGUGCGUGCGUGCUGUUGUGUGCAGGCCCGACUCAUCUCUGCUUGUGCACAACAAGGAAGGCCAUGGAGACGCUGCUCCCUAUGUUCAGCGCGUGGACGGACGAUGCAGCGUUGGGGAUGACUCAUGGCUGCCUCCGUUUGUGCAGAUUGGGUACUCUGGAGCACAUGGAAGGAGGAGAAGGAUGGGAGGUGUGUAGAAUUCGGCGCCAAGGGAGACGAUCGAGAUGGUGGAGCAGAAUCCAGAGGACGACGGGAGACCAGGUAGAGGAGAGACAACACCCGGAUAUCAGGCAGUGAAUGCACACAAUGCAAGGAUACUUUAAACAAAUACAAGUAUCAUCCAUAUGAAGGUCAUCGGGCGUUUGGAAGAGAAGAAUGAUGCAUAUAUCAUCUCAGUUCAGAUGCUCCUGUUUAGUGGGACGCUAUGCAGUUUUUUGGUGAAUGGUGCCGCUGCUGCAGCUCAUUGGUUCUAGCCCGACAUUCAGCUCUGAAUGGACGUGUGUCAGGGACAGGAUGAUCACCAUCCAGGUUUUGACACGGUAUUUUCUCUUUCUUUAUUAGCAGCCGCAUGUGGAAAGGUUUGGCAAUUCAAAGUACUUCAAGAAACUGUUAUCAUUGAAGCCUGCUUGGAAAUUAUAUAGAAGUGUAAUUUGUAGUGGAGUUAUCAGUUCUCCGUUGAUAAAUGUACAAUGUGAAGGCAAAUAAUCUUUUUGUAUGAUUAUGUUACAUUACAGCUAUCAAAACGCAUGCAGAUGUUGCAUCUCUCUCUCUCUCUCACACACACACGUGUGUGCGCAUGCACACACAAACACAUACGCACGCGAUCAGGCAAUGGAGGGCCCCGGCUCCGAUUGCAAUAUUUCAUAUUUGUUUUGCUUUUAUAAGUGGUGGAUGCAUAGCCUAAAUUAAGGGCCAAGCUUUAGGCAGGAAAGUGGGACAAUCUUCAGUAACAUCACCACGCUUCUUAUCAUACCCACUCGCGGUGGAGCCGCCAGCCUGGCCGAGUCGCUGUUGAUCAGCGCCAACUCCAUGAGGGAAAAAUAUGGUACUGAUUUCUUAGGUUGUUAGGUUCUGUGUUCUCCUAGGAUUUAAGAUGGUGAAGUUACUGUGACUGUAAUCGAAUAUCCAUUUCAAU